UACGUAGGGUGCAAGCGUUGUCCGGAAUUAUUGGGCGUAAAGAGCUCGUAGGCGGUUUGUCGCGUCGAAUGUGAAAACCCGGGGCUCAACCCCGGGCCUGCAUUCGAUACGGGCAGACUAGAGUUCGGUAGGGGAGUCUGGAAUUCCUGGUGUAGCGGUGAAAUGCGCAGAUAUCAGGAGGAACACCGGUGGCGAAGGCGGGACUCUGGGCCGAUACUGACGCUGGAGGAGCGAAAGCGUGGGGAGCAAACAGG
This 254-nucleotide ribosomal RNA is filed under the name uncultured bacterium. RNAcentral's name for it is "partial 16S ribosomal RNA". It matches the Rfam family "Bacterial small subunit ribosomal RNA", at positions 524 to 776 of the family's 1533-position model. The record is from RNAcentral.